Molecule: ribosomal RNA, 255 nt
Filed under: uncultured bacterium
Lineage: Bacteria
Description: partial 16S ribosomal RNA
Rfam family: Bacterial small subunit ribosomal RNA
Source: RNAcentral
UACGUAGGUGGCAAGCGUUGUCCGGAAUUAUUGGGCGUAAAGCGCGCGCAGGCGGUUCUUUAAGUCUGAUGUGAAAGCCCACGGCCUCAACCGUGGAGGGUCAUUGGAAACUGGAGAACUUUGAGUACAGAAGAGGAAAGCGGAAUUCCACGUGUAGCGGUGAAAUGCGUAGAGAUGUGGAGGAACACCAGUGGCGAAGGCGGCUUUCUGGUCUGUAACUGACGCUGAGGCGCGAAAGCGUGGGGAGCAAACAGG